AAAACGACUCUCGGCAACGGAUAUCUCGGCUCUCGCAUCGAUGAAGAACGUAGCGAAAUGCGAUACUUGGUGUGAAUUGCAGAAUCCCGUGAACCAUCGAGUCUUUGAACGCAAGUUGCGCCCCAAGCCUUCGGGUCGAGGGCACGUCUGCCUGGGUGUCACGCAUCGUAGCCCC
RNAcentral lists this ribosomal RNA (175 nucleotides) under Passerina montana. RNAcentral's name for it is "5.8S ribosomal RNA". The stretch from base 6 to 161 matches the Rfam family "5.8S ribosomal RNA". Rfam says of the family: 5.8S ribosomal RNA (5.8S rRNA) is a component of the large subunit of the eukaryotic ribosome. It is transcribed by RNA polymerase I as part of the 45S precursor that also contains 18S and 28S rRNA. RNAcentral also lists the same sequence under 1 other name. Lineage: Eukaryota; Viridiplantae; Streptophyta; Magnoliopsida; Malvales; Thymelaeaceae. The record is from RNAcentral.